UACGGGGGGAGCAAGCGUUGUUCGGAUUUACUGGGCGUAAAGCGUGCGCAGGCGGCUUUGCAAGACAGAUGUGAAAUCCCCGGGCUUAACCCUGGAAAGGCCGUGGAAACUGAAUAGCUAGAGUGCAGUAGGGGUAGAGGGAAUUCCCGGUGUAGCGGUGAAAUGCGUAGAGCUCGGGAAGAACAUCGGUGGCGAAAGCGCUCUGCUGGACUGCAACUGACACUCAGGGACGAAAGCUAGGGGAGCGAAUGGG
Molecule: ribosomal RNA, 253 nt
Filed under: uncultured bacterium
Lineage: Bacteria
Description: partial 16S ribosomal RNA
Rfam family: Bacterial small subunit ribosomal RNA
Source: RNAcentral